GUACGCUGGCGGCACGCCUAACACAUGCAAGUCGAACGAAGUAGCAAUACUUAGUGGCAGACGGGUGAGUAACAUGUAGGUAUCUACCCUUUGGCCUGGAAUAACACGAGGAAACUUGUGCUAAUACCGGAUAAGUCUUUACGGAGAAAGCUUUAUGCACCAUUGGAUGAGCCUGCACUUGAUUAGUUUGUUGGUGGGGUAAUGGCCUACCAAGACUGUGAUCAAUAGCUGAUUUGAGAGGAUGAUCAGCCACAUUGGGACUGAGACACGGCCCAAACUCCUACGGGAGGCAGCAGUGGGGAAUCUUGCACAAUGGAGGAAACUCUGAUGCAGCGAUGCCGCGUGAGUGAAGAAGGCCCUUGGGUUGUAAAGCUCUUUCGUCGGGGAAGAAAAUGACUGUACCCGAAUAAGAAG
RNAcentral lists this ribosomal RNA (414 nucleotides) under uncultured bacterium. RNAcentral's name for it is "bacterial SSU rRNA". It matches the Rfam family "Bacterial small subunit ribosomal RNA", at positions 31 to 490 of the family's 1533-position model. The record is from RNAcentral.